AAAACGACUCUCGGCAAAGGAUAUCUCGGCUCUCGCAUCGAUGAAGAACGUAGCGAAAUGCGAUACUUGGUGUGAAUUGCAGAAUCCCGUGAACCAUCGAGUCUUUGAACGCAAGUUGCGCCCUAAGCCUUCUGGCCGAGGGCACGUCUGCCUGGGUGUCACAAA
Molecule: ribosomal RNA, 165 nt
Filed under: Alyssum repens
Lineage: Eukaryota; Viridiplantae; Streptophyta; Magnoliopsida; Brassicales; Brassicaceae
Description: 5.8S ribosomal RNA
Rfam family: 5.8S ribosomal RNA
About the family: 5.8S ribosomal RNA (5.8S rRNA) is a component of the large subunit of the eukaryotic ribosome. It is transcribed by RNA polymerase I as part of the 45S precursor that also contains 18S and 28S rRNA.
Source: RNAcentral